UACGGAGGGUGCGAGCGUUAAUCGGAAUUACUGGGCGUAAAGCGCGCGUAGGCGGUUUGUUAAGUCAGCUGUGAAAUCCCCGGGCUCAACCUGGGAAUUGCCGUUGAUACUGACAGACUUGAGUACGAGAGAGGGAGGUAGAAUUCCACGUGUAGCGGUGAAAUGCGUAGAUAUGUGGAGGAAUACCAGUGGCGAAGGCGGCCUCCUGGCUCGAUACUGACGCUGAGGUGCGAAAGCGUGGGGAGCAAACAGG
This 253-nucleotide ribosomal RNA is filed under the name uncultured bacterium. Its description in RNAcentral is "partial 16S ribosomal RNA". It matches the Rfam family "Bacterial small subunit ribosomal RNA", at positions 524 to 776 of the family's 1533-position model. The record is from RNAcentral.